GCCUGGGCUGGUGACGGUGUCAAGUGUAGGCAAGAAAUACGGCUGAUCAAGAAGCGACUUCACCUCCCUCGCACAACACUGAGUCCCUUUGCGGCAGGGGCCCUCCCCGCCGCGAACCCUACUUGGAACCUUGCGCCAUGCGAUGUCUCUCUCAUUCUAGGCCACGGAAGCCCUGGGUCACCCUUUCAGCCUGGUUCUCUCCGGUGGUGCUGGCUUGUUUCUCCUGUCUGUUGGGGUCAGCUGCGUCCAGCCUCGGCUCCUGCAGGAUUGCCCGGGCAACCCAGAGGAGAUGGGCGGGCGUGGAGGUCCUCCCUGGAUGACCCUUCCCACCAUUUCAACAUCAUUAGGAAUUUAACAGGCUUUUGCAAGAAGGCCCAGGUACGCAUCCCCCCAUUUAUAGUAGGAUUUCCAGGACAAAAUGUAUUCCACUCUCUAAACAACAAGCAACAUGUAUACAACCCAUUCAUAAGGUAAAGAUUCCCUUGCCUACACCUAGCUUCUCCUGCCCAAGCAUGGCCUUGUCGUUCUCUUCCCCAGGUCAAGUUCAGGACCUAGCAGCUGGGAAUGCACAUUUUCCAAGUUAAGAGUGGAAGAGUCCCAGCUUGGCUUAGAUGGAGUCACAUAUAGGAUUCAGGUUUGCCUUGGCAGGUCUGAUGGACCUUGGUGAGGGUCCGCCAGCAGCUGUGCACAGCAGCUGCCCAGGGCCAUGCAGCAGGCACCGCACUCCCCUUCCAGGAAGGAUUCCAGGCCCAGCUACAAGGAGCGUGGCUACUGACAGCUGUCCACUCACAGCUCGUCAGACUAAGCUUCAGCUUUCAAAAAGGACUGUGCCCUCCUUGGGCUGGCCCAGGCCCACAUAAGAGCAAGGCAGUGGCCCAAAGGCCUGGCAUUUCUGCCCACCACGGGAUUCCUCUCCUGGGUGGUCUGUGCUCCAGAGCUCUCUGUGGGGCUGGCUUACUUCUCCCCUGGCCCCUCCACAGGAGUUACUCAGCUAUAGCCCCUCUGCACACAUAACUCUAUCUGGGAGCCUUUCCCGGAGGAUGCAACCUAACUGGUUGGCUCAUCCUAUAGAAGCCAGUGUCCUUGACUUUUUCAGGUGAUGAACCUCUUUUGAGAGGAUGCUGAUAACUGUAAGCAUCUUCCCAGGAUUUGCACAUGUCCAGUGUUAGAGUGCAGGUCCCCCAAGGCCAUCCCACGGGCCUUCACAGGGAGUCGGGUUGAGGACUUCUGACUGAAGGAGGUGGGGAGGAGGCGAAGUCGGGGAAUGAGGAAGAUGGGGCUGGGGGAUAAUAACAGGGCUUCCGGCAAUGGAGAGGAGGGUUAAUUCUCAUUUCUGACUCACAGCGCAGCCUCCCAUGAGUUCAUGGAUUCUGUGGGAAAAACCAAAAGCCAAUUCCCUCAAGUGCUAUGUCAGGCCCUGCAGGCAGGUGGCCGGCGGUGGCCCCAUAUGGCUCUGGCACAAUGAGGGCUUCAGAGAACAGAGCUGCCUCUGCCUGGGGAGUGCCAGUGGCAUCAGCAGCAGGGGUGGUGCCCAGUCACCCAUGUGGCAGAGGCUGGCUGGGCACCGUCUCCUCUGGGUAACAUGGUGCCCACCAAGCCCUGGAAGCAAGGCCUCCCAGCACCUUUGCAAGCAGCAGAUAUCAUCUAGCAAUGUCCAGCUGGAUGGAAAGAAGAUACAACAGCUGGAAAGUGGCAUUGGCUGACCUCCUCCAGAAAGUCUCUUUCCAAAAUAAUUGGCAAGGGUUUCAGGUGUUAGAUGUUCUUCACUGACAGGUGGAGAAGGAGCUAACAAAACAAGAUUGUGCAGGAAUGAGAAGUCGUAUUUAGGAUGUACGACAGCAGACACACAGCACACACACACACACACACACACACACACACACACACACACACACACACACCAGGGGCUGUUUUCAGCACUCACUUAUAUUAAUUGAUUUAAUCCACAUACAGCCUCAUGUGCUAGCUCCUAUUAUUAUCUCAUUUUACUCUCAAAAAAACUGAUGCACAGAAAGGUUUAGCAGCCUGCUAAAGUCACGCAGCUGAAAAGUGGCAGAGCUGGGAUCUGAGCCAGGAAGCAAGGUACAAGGUCUGUGCUCUUCAUCUCCUUCUAUGCUGGCUGUAUGCUUGCUAGCGGCCAUGAACUUGGACCUUGGGGUGGGAGGGCUCUGCGUUCAUUCCCAGCCCCCCUUGUUACUGGCUGUGUGAUUUCAGGUCGGUUUCAUUCUUCUCUUUGACUCAGUUUCCUCAACUGAGUGUAAAAUGAUAGUGAUCCUACCUCAUAAACAUGUGUGAGGCUUAAAUGAGCUAAUUAUGUAAAAGAUUUUUGCUGCCACACAGAAAAAUGCUUAGUCUGACAUUGAAUAUAUAUGAAAUUUUUGGAUCUGCGCCACCCACAGAACUCAGAGUAGGUUCUUUAAAUAAACUUCUGCCCCAGACUCCCAGGCCAGCCCAGCCACUGAAGGCACCAAGACAGGAGCCCUGUGUCCGCUCCAGCCCUGAGGCUCCGGAAGCCAGGCAAGAGCAUUUCCCGGUGGAUUCCUGGCUGGGCCCAGCCUGGGGCCUCUCAGUGCUCCUGGUAGCCUUGCAUUUUCUAUCUUCAAGGGAAGCUUGAGUGCUGGAAGCCUGCCCGCCCCUGCACAUUCCUACCAGCGCCUGAAAUCAAUGAUGCCCUUGUUCUCCUUGGAAGCGUUGGAUGUGUGGGAGAAGGUUGAGGGCACACUGUCAUCCCGCCAAGCUGUCUGGAAAGCUGGAGGGUGCAUGAAAGGCUGGGGAGCACCCAGUCCUGCAUAGGUACCUCCUGCUUCAAAUCAGCCAGAUCCAGGGACUCACACCAUGGCAUCAAUGUGAGGAGCACUAUAAGAGGAUACCCUUCUAGUGGGUUUCAAAGCACCUGAUUAAUACAAAUGUAAUCAACACGAAGCUUUUCUACUACAUAUUCUUUGUGUAAAGCCAUAUGCACUCACAUUCAGAAAUACUAAAGAUCAGGUCUAGAAAAAUAUUCCUACAGGCAGAAAGAAGAGAGAGUCCAGUUCUAAACACAGGGAAGGGUUGAAGAAGCACAGUGGGUGAGGGAGAGCCCAUGUGGGUGGGAGAGGAUGAGGGCACAGGUGGAUAUUGUUUUAAAAUUUGGUAGUGGCAAAUUGGAAGCACAAUGUAAUUUCACUUACAAUUUGCCUUCCAUCAAAUAGGAUCCCCAAAUACUCAAAGGCCUUAAAUGGAGGCUUUUCUUUAACGAUCUCAAAUUUUUAACUUUUGCUAGGCGUGGUGGUUCAUGCCUAUAAUCCCAGCACUUUGGGAGACUGAGGCGGGCGGAUCACCUCAGGCCAGGAGUUCGAGACCAGCCUGGCCAACAUGGUGAAACUCUGUCUCUUCCAAAAAUACAAAAACUAGCUGGGCAUGGUGGAUCGAGCCUGUAAUUCUAACUACUCGGGAGGCUGAGGCAGGAGAAUAGCUUGAAUCCGGGAGGCGGAGGUUGUGGUGAGCCAGAUGGCACCACUACAAUUCAGCCUGGGCC
RNAcentral lists this long non-coding RNA (3517 nucleotides) under Homo sapiens (human). RNAcentral describes it as "HSALNT0372484". The record is from RNAcentral. Lineage: Eukaryota; Metazoa; Chordata; Mammalia; Primates; Hominidae.